GUCUUUAGCUGAAGAUGGUAUUUAAGAUGAGACCCUCCUCCAGUUUGGUGUCUCCCAUGUAUACAUGUUAUAAAGCUUUGUUUGAUUUUCUCCUGUUAUUCUGUCUCAUGUCAAUUUAAUUCAUAGCCCAGCCAAAAGGACCCAAUAGAGGAUAUGUCUUCCUCCCCGACAGCUUCCUGAGAACCCCUAAUGUCCAUCUGUCUGGUGAGCAAGACAAAUCGUGCCCUUUGUGUGGUAACAAAAUCUGGUGACCAUGAAGGGACAAUAAGUUCUGCUCAUGGCCAGUCGACCUCAGAUGAGUGACCUGUUGGGUAAGUCCUUUGCAGCUGCUGAGACUCCUUUUGUCUCAGGGAUCUGCCCUUCUUCUCUCCCAUGCUGAUGCUAGCUGCCUCCUAAUGUUCCCUAUGGUGGAAAGAGAAACGAUUACUUCUGGUGGGUUGAUUGGCUCACAUCUGGAGUAGGAUAAGUCAUCUUGGGGGUGCACUACUGAGAACUUCCUUUCUCCCCCUUCUGGGGUUCCCUCUUUGAGAAGGGGGACCAUCUGGUUCCCUGCUAGAGUGGGAAGAGGUAUAGGACUUCACCCAAAAUCUAGGAGCCAGUUUGCUGGUGUCUGGUUUUUCUGUGUUUGUGUUUGUGUCUAUGUCUCUAAAGAGCUCCAGGAUCAGACAUCUUUUGGGUGCGUGACCUUGUUGAAAUGUGCCUGUGCCUGGAAUUGUCUAGUAUCUCAUCAGGAUAGUGGGUUAUAGGCCCCACUGGUGAGAUUUGGCUGCUGGGUUCAAGUCUCAAGGCCAGGAUUGUGGGAGACAAUAUAAAGGGGUUACAGCUGCUGGGGCACUCAAUAGGAUCAGGUUAGAGUCCUGAGCUCUGGGUUAGAGUCCCAGAAGGAUUGGAUUUUGGUGUCUGUUCAUGUUUGUCUAUACCUGACUAUUCUAUUUGUUAAAAUUGGCUGUUUGGGGACUGAGUUUCUCAGUGAUUAUAAUAAACUCUUUUUAAAUUAUCCUGUUUGUUGUGAGCGACUUGGGAAAAGCCCCAGAAAACGGGGAUAACUGUAAACAGCUGGUAAGAUAACCUGGAAUGAUUUAAAAUUAUAGUGGCCAUUUUGGGCUCUUUUUGAGCCUCCAAACCAAGGAACAAGGACAAAUCUUUAAUCUUUAAAGAGUCAAGGACUCCACCUUUCAACCAAAAGUUUCCAGAAACUGUAAAUGUUUGCAGAGAACAGCAGAAUCUUGCCAAGCUUGUUUGGGUCCUGAGGGCUUGGCUUGAUAACUGUUAGGUUAGGGGGGAGGUUCUAAAAUACAGUUGGACAAAAAUAUGGUUGCACCCCAUUUUGCAGUAAGAGAUAGUCGGAUGGAAAUGCAGGCUGCACUCCUGUUUGUGGCUAAGAGUCCUACCAAACUGCCAUCAGCCUCAGGGGAAAUAGAUCGGCUGUUAGAAGAAAGUCUUGGCUGGGCCUUCAUUGUAAGGGUCUUGAUUCCAGGGAUGCUUGAAAUUUUUGCAAUCUGAUUCUAGCUUCAGCAUAAAUAUACUUUUGACCAGUGAUGUCUAAAUUUUGAAACAAUGGGAAACAGUAAUUCGAUCCCCACCUGUAGCCUCUUAGGCUGCAUUCUCCUAAAUUGGGUGACUUUUAGCUACAAGUAAGUAGUAUGAGCUACUGAGUCCUUAAUGUAUUGAUCUUUCUCCUCUCAGAGACAGCCACUAUUUUUCUUGUCUCUGUUUUAUGUGUUUGUGUCAUUUGUCAUAAAAAGGAAAGACCAUAGAGCAAGAUGCAGGCACUCCAUGAGCAUGUUGUCUGGGUGGCCACAGUAGACUUCGCUGCAGGACCCGCCUAUGGAAUACGUGCAUAAGGUGGAAGCUAUUGCCGAGGGCAUCUUGGAAGCCAAAAGGGCUGCGAUAUGGGUGGGCACAGGUCGAGCAGUUAAGAGCCAAUAGGAUGCUCGCCAUCUCAAGAAGUCUCCCGUGAAAGGAUGAGUUGAUCAUGGAACAGGGUAGAUGACACAAGUCCCCCUGCCAACUUCAAGAAAAUGUCCGUGCAAUGAUGAGGUACUCUGUAAAACAUACACAAUCCCCAACCACGUGGCACCUCCUUCCUAGGUAUUAUCCUGGCUCUGAAAGACCCAAAGCAUAGCUGAAACUGUUAACGUGCAUAUAAGAUGAGGGCUUGUUUCUUUUUGUCUAGUGCUAUGUCCUGAGAGCUUGGCUUGGUGACGUCUCUGGUCACAAGGGGUCCCAGUCCAUCGGGGGCCUGUGUCGUCUCAACCUUUGUUGCCUGUCAGUGCACUACCACCUGUGCAGCAGAAGCCUUUGCUUCCUUGGAUUAUUUUUGGGAGUGAAGUUUCUAGAUCUUGUGAGGUCUGCUUCUUUUGCACUCUCUUGUGAAGAUGCCUCUUGCAUCCAAGGUAAGCCAUAAAUGCUUGUAGAUAUUGGAACGUUAUAAAAAGCUCAUAAGGAAAAUGUGCCCCAGAAACUCCAUCUUGGAGAAAACUUAAGUGUCUUUAUGAUGUAGUUGGACAGGUAGAUCAACCUAUAAUGUCAUUUGAGUUACAACCCAGUUUCUGAGAAAUCAAGAGCAACUGUCCCUGGAAAAUCCUUGUAAGGCUGGUAAAGCAGCUCUAGAGGUGGUUCAGGUUCCACCCAUUUCCCUUAUCUCAAAGAGCUUGCAAAUCCUCUGGGGACUACCUAGCCCAUCACUAAUUCCUAAGAUUGAAGAAAAAAAAGGGGGAAAUGAAAAAAAGGGCAGAAAUGUGCCCUUGCCAAAAAUCUAGCAUCUUGAAUGUCUUCUCUACAAAUAUUAGUAAAAAAGGCUUAAAACAAAAAUUUGCUUUCAUAGUUAGGGAGCCUUGUACCUGAUUCAUGGCAGUAAUUUUAAAACAAUAGCUGUGCAGUCUCUGUGUAUGUGUGUCUAUAUGUAUGUUAAAUGUGUGUGAUAUUUUUACCUCCAGAUGGUAUGGCCAAAAAUUGAGAGCUCUGUUUAAUUGGCUUAAAAUAAGUGCUUACCUAAAUUAUUUCUAAAUGGAAAAGAAAUUAACCCAAAUGUCUGAGUUAACAUGAUAUAAAAUUAAUCUUUGAUACCUGAAAGCUUAUUUAAGAUCAUUGGUUUGAUUGAAAUAAGCAUGUCCGUAUUUGGAUAUGAUGCGGACAUGUCUGGUUUUAUUGGUCAAAUAAGCUGGUGUUAUCUCUACCACAAAAGUGGUUAGCAAAAAUAAUAACUUAAAAUGUUGGCUAAUUUUAUCUAAUGUCUCAUGAAGUUUUGUAGGCAACCUAAGUAAUUAUUAGAAACAAGGAAAAGAAUAAACAUAAAAAGGGUGAAAGUUUUGGGGGAAACUUUUUAAGAAUGAUUAUGUGCUAUGAUGUAUGCCUUUAAAACAACUUAAGAUGAUGGCUAAGUGCUUUAUUGUCACAUGAAGUUUUUGUGAGUAAUCUAAACAUGAUUGUUACAAACAAAUGGUCUAGAUAAAAGUGAGAUAAGAGUUUACAGAUAAACUUUAGCAAUAAUUAUGGUUUAUGACAUGCGUACUUAAAAUAGCUUCCAAAAUCUCUUUGGUGACUUGAAACAUUGAAGUUUUGAUAGGUUAAACUGAAUAAUAAAAUUCAUUGAGUUAUCUAGAUCAUUUCUCAAUAAGAUAGAAUAUUAGAUGUUAAUUAUUAAAUCUGGUUUAUCUACUUUUGGCUUCUUUUUACAAAGAAACUAAAAGGUCUUUGAGUCUAUUAGUAAACAUGAAUUGUAUUUUAUUAAGUUUGUGUCAUGAAGUAGCAUGUUCCUAGAAAUUAUAAAUACUAUUUAUAAAUUUGCCAAGCCACAGUAUGCUAAUGUAAAAGACAGUUCAUAAUUGCUUAGCUUUGAGUUUUUACUAGGGUCUGUAAGGGUUAAAAAUUCUAAUUAAUGUAUGUAAUUAAAGCUACUAAAAAUUAAUACGGCAAACAUCUUUGUACCUAAGAAAAGUAAAAUGUAUGUUUUCAGUAAAGAAGCUAUAAAGAAUGGAAAUAUUUUUGUUUGUUGGGUUAAGAAAGAUAGAUUUGUUUUAAAGUACUAGAAGAAAAAAAGGAAGCAUGGGACAAAUUCUGAAUGUAAAAAGAAAGUUAAAGAAGAUUUGUGAAAGAGAAAUUCUGAAAGGCGUUUUAUACCUGGUCAAGUUGGCUAAGAUUAAAGUAAAUCCAACUAAGUAAAUGAGUUUUAAUGUAAAAGAAAAUGAGCUGGUACAAAAAUUAAAAUUUGGUUUUCUCUCUCAAAAGGAUAAUUUUCUUGAACUUUUGGUCUUCUCUUGAUAAAGAGGUUAUAAAAGGGUUUUCUUUAACAUUAAGUUUAUCUAAAAGACAGAAAAUCUAGGUUUUGUUAAAGUAAUUUCCUAUGUUCAGAAAGAAAGAGGUCCCUCUAUUAAGAUUUUUUUUGACUGUUUUAACUGUUCUUGACUGUUUCUGUGGUCACUUUGUAUAGAUAACUGAGCAUUGUUUCCUAUAAGAACAAUUGUUUUAAAAUGUUUUGAUAUUUUUGAGAAGCUUCCUCCGCCUCCAACCAAAAUAUUCAAAUCCUGAAUAAAAGCUUUCUUUUGACUUGGGUGAAGGGAGAGAAUCUUGCUGAGGAUUUUCAGAGGGCCCCUGAGACUUCUCAAAGAGAUUUUCUCUCUCUUUCCAUAAGGAGGAAGACACUAAGCUAAUUAGGCUUAUUUGGUAUGUUAAAUUACACAGGAAGCAUUGUCAAAGAAGUGAUGAUAAACUUUCUAUGGUGGUACUAUGUGAGUAAAUGUUAUUGAUAUAAAUGUUUUAAAAAUUACAUAACAUUCCUAAAAUUCCCAUUGGUCCUGGUUGUCAGCCAUAAUUCUGGUUAUUAUUUUAAAGUAUUGUAUGUCACAAAAUUAACCAAAUUUCUUUUUCAGUUGUCAUUUAGGGAUCUUGUUCUUUACAGAUAGUUAUUGUUUUACUCUGAUGCUUUUGCAGAUAUGUUUCGUAUUCAGAGAAAUUCGUGGAAAGGACUCUGACACUCUGGAAUACAGGUUUCUGACCCACUUCAGAUCGUAAAACUGAAGUGGGUAAGAAAUUAUAGAACUCUAAUAGAGAAACUGAUGAGCUCAUGAAACUGCUGACAGAAGAUUAAGAUCAAGAAUCAAUUACACAGGACUGUGGAACUGAUGAGCAGGAUUAUAAUUUUUAUGAUUUUUGUUUAAAAUCUUGUUGAUUUUUUAAUGUUUUGUUUUGUUUUCCCAGAUUUUAGGAAAUCUUUUUUUUUUCUCUUAUGCUAACUAUGACUUAUAGCAAUUUGGUGAAAUUAUACCUUUGUGAGCAGAAUUGAAACAUUUAUCUUUUUCUCCCUACCUGAUCCCUCCAGAAUUUGGAAACUCUUAGUGAGUGAGUGAGUAUGGUUAUUUUCAUGGCAAUAUAGUUAUUUGCAUAAGUUCAGUAAGAAUCUGUUCCCCUUAUAACAGGACACAUUUGGAAACAUUGAUUAUAUAACCAAGGCUUUGACUAGAAUGCCAUAUUUGAGAGACACAUAUAGACUCAGAUAUGACAAGACAGCUUUUGAGGAAUAAAUGUUGACUUCUUGGAAUAAAGCCACUUGGAAAUAUUGGCCUGAUAACUUGUUUACAAGGAUUCCAGCAACCUGGGUAAGUAAGGAAGGUCACUUAUCUGGCAGGUACCUGGAACCUUGAAAUACUUUGGGGAACCUCAAGGCAAGAGAGGAAUUCACUCAAAUCUAAAGUGUUGCAGGCGGAGCCUGAUGACAAAUCCUUGGCUUGGAUUUUCUGGCCUCAAGAAGCUUUUAAAGUUCAACCUGAGAUUCCUUAUAAAAAGUUCCAGCAAAGCAGAUUUUAAAAAGCAUAUAUGAUCAAUGGCUAUUCUUGCUGUACUUAUGUAAAUAAUUGAAUUAAGUUUUAUUGAAACUAGGCUUAUUUUGCAAACUAAUGAGUCUUAAUUGGCUAUCUUUGGUAAAAAGGGGGUGAUUUUAGAGAGAAAAAUUAUAUUUCAGUAGGAGCUAUGGUACACAUUCGUGGAUAUUAGAUUCUAGUUCUGUUAAGUGCAUUUGAGGUUUUUGUUUGUAUCUGUUUACUGUACUGGAUCCUAAACUCUUCUAGUCUCUUGAAAUAUCUGGCUACAUAUCUCCAAACUAGCUAUUUCAAUAUUUUUUUCCAUCAUUUUCACUUGGAAUCAUUGAGAACUGAACCUGCCCUUUUCCUGCCAAGUCUUGCAAACUGAAGCUGGAGGACUUGAUAUAAACUUAAGAGGGAGAGAUUCAUAUCUGUUGCUGUGUAAGCCCCUCAGAAAGAUACCUGAACACCCAAUGACAUCAUCAGGGACAUCUAAAACUGCAAAAGAUGCUUUGACCCUGACAUCUAGAAAUCUUCUUGACUGGCUGCCCCUGGGCUCAGAACUGGUUUAUAAUUUGCUCCCACCAUUAGCCUUACUCUCCUUCUGUCUCUCUAGAAAUGCUUCUUAUUAAAUACCUGGUUACUUGCUUACCCAAUAUAGGCCUAACUUCAGGAACCCACCUGCAUCACCAUCUUACUAAGAGACUGGUUCAAUGAGAUGGAACAACCUAUGCUCCUCAACGACAGGAUGUCCCUCAAGAUUGAGGAAUGAAAAACAAAAAGGCAGAAUUGAAACCGACUCAACACAAGAUUGACAUAACGCAAGCCAUAUUGUAGAAAAGAGACCAUGUUGUAACUUUGAAUGACCUCUGACUGACUAACCCAGCUGGAUUUGCACCCUCCAGGAGAUCCACCUGUUCUGUGGAUUUUAUGACCUCUGCUAGUGCAUAUACCUGCCAUCUGCAAUAAGAUGAUAACUUCAUGCUUUUGAGUUCCUUAGGAAUGUGAUGACCCCCCAAACAGAGAGUCUAUGCUGAUAGCCAUCUUCAAUGAAAACUGAAAGAUCUGGUGUGGCAACUCCCAGUCUGCAACACCAGAGGGUCAACAUUCCUAACCCCUCCCCUAUAACCCACUGGCCUAUAUAACUGCUUCAAGAUUCUGUGUCCCUUUUAAGAUUGUUCUUUUGGACAUUAUUAGGCCAUCUUCCCUCUUGCUAGCAAGCUGUAAUAAAAUGCCCUUUCUCUGCCACCAUCUUGCCUCUUGACGAUUGGCUUUUGUCCUGUGGCGAGCAGAUUGGGCUCUUUGUGUGAUAACAGUUUGAUUACUCUAAGCCUUCUCCCAAUGUUCUUGGCUACUUGUCCUUCUUCCUUAGAGCAUUUGUCUUGUCUCUAAGCCCUUGCUUUAAACCUAUGCUGUCUCCUCAUGGUGUCACACAUGCACACAGAGGACAGAAACACUUUCUUAAUGGAGGAUUGGAACCAAAGUGUUUGAAGAGGCCCCUCAGCACCCCUGAGCAUGGAGGCCAGAGUGGUUUGUCCUUCACCGUCACCAUGUCUCAUUCUCCUAAAGAGCUGGCUCAAAAGGAAAUGCACAGAUGCCCAGACUAUUUGCUAAAGGAAAUGACACAUUAUCCUCUUCCGAACAUCUGGUAAUUCCUAAAAGACAGUCAGGCCCUGAUAAUACGGUUGGCUCACUAGAAGCCUGAGUCUUCUUUCCCAAGGGAGGUGGGGGCGAACCAAGGAGGACAGAGUCUAUUUUUGGUGUCAGCCCUAGGGGAUGCCUUGAGGAGGGGGAGAGGGGUCACCAGCACUGCUGUUCUGUUCUGUUCUGUGAGCCAGGAAUGCAUGCUUCCUUCCUGUCCAGCCCUGAGCAGCCGUCUCUUUCUUAAGUUUCAGAUCUUCCAUGGAGAGCUGAAAAGAUUUAAAAAUUCCAUCAUGGGCCGGAAUGGCUUGACAUGAGGGCAGGUGAACUAAUGACUUGGGGAAAUGAGAUUUGUCAGAACACUGGGUGUUGAAGUUACUGCAAAGGAAAGCAGAGCUGUGUCAGGUUGAGUGGCUAUCACAAGAUGGAAUAGUGACUCAGAGGACUCACUAGCAUCUGGCUGCCCCUUGGCUAGGAAAUGCACAUUUUUUUUAGCCCUAAGGCAUCCUCUGGAGGCAAAAUGCAACAUGUAGAAAGAAUAGGAGAGGUGUGCGUGGAGUGCCUCGCUUCCCCAGUUAAUUGAUUUUGCACAGGUGAGAAGAAGCAAGCCUUGAACUCAAUGGGAAAUCCCGGAGGUGGAUGCCUCAGGACUGACCCCCGUUGGUCAGCAUCUAGACCAAUGAAGCACCUUAAGUCGAGGACUGAGAGAAGCAAGUCUUGUUCUCAUUAAAUUAGCCCAGGACUGGGGAGUGGGUGGAGGGGGUUGGGGAGGGCACCUCUGCCUCAGGAUCUAAGGCCACUUGUUGUACCAGGUCUUUGUUUUGUCCCAGCCAGGGCACUCUGGGGAAAGCAUCCUGAGAAUUCGCCCUGCAAACAGAAAGGGCAUUUCCUUGUGUGGGUUUCCUGUUUAGGUCUGCGUAGAAACCCAAAGGAUCACUUGGCCUCAUAAAUCCUCUAGACAUUACUGAUGUAGAUGCUCUGGCUAGAUGCCAUGGGAAAAUUGCACAAAAAUAGAAGAAGAGAGGAAAGCGCAUUCCCUCUCAGGAUUCUGGGUGGGUUUCAGGCUUCAUGUUUUUGUAAAUAGAGGGGGUUGGGCUAGAGGAGAUGAUCUUAAGUUCCCUUCCAGCUUUGCUAUUCUCAGAUUCCGUUGCCCUCCCAAGGGUCACCCGGAGCUCCCGCUCUCCCGCUCAGUAAUGGGGGUCUGCUGAGCACCUCUCCAAACAGAAGCAGGAUGGAAGUUUCAGGCAAAAAAUCAGGAAGUUGCCUUAGAAUCUCUUUUAGGCUCCUUCACAGAAAAAAGGUACUGGUUGAACUCUGGUAAUUCCCAGACUUUCCUAAACAUUUAGUUUUUUCCAAAAAUGACAGAUACCAGAUUCAGGAGUAUUGCAGGAGGUUUGCGGCUGGGUUUUGGCAUAAAGCAAGUUCACAGAAUGGACUCAAAAGUGGUGGAUAAGAUGUGUGUUAGGAGAUAUCACGCAUUUCGGGAUUCUUUUUUACUUCCUGUUCCCCUCAAGUUUUGCAUGUGUCAAAUGGGCAUUCAAACCUGUUGGUUUAAUGGAAGAAGCCAUGUUUUCAUACUUAUUCUGUGACAGAUUCCCCUUGGAGUCUGACCAAACAUUAGGUUAGAUGAGAGCGAUGAGGUGAAGACAGGAUUUCUUGCCGAAGAUUCCUGUGAGGAUAUUCUCAUUGUCUUAAAUUAUACUUUUUGUGUUCUAUUUUCUCACUUGUCCUUGUUUGUAUCAUUUAAAAAAUUUCUCAUAUGGAACUGCCCUUUUUUGGAAAGGCAGUACUAAAAUGAUAUUGAGUAACAUUAAGUUAACCUCCUUAGACUGGCGGUUCAGUGCUCUAGUAAGCUGACUAGAUAUUCUACUUAAAUGUGGAUAGACCCAUUUAUACAGCAACAUUUCUCAAGGCAAGAUUGCUCUCUUCUCAGUUCUCUCAGGUAUGAAUUGUGAUGUUUGUCUAUAAAAGUCAUUCCCUAGAGGAUAUUCUUACAUCUUUGUAAAUAAUUCAGCAAAGGAAGAUUACUUCCAAGGUCCCCUUCUGUUAUUUCACUUCCAAAUUUUGCUGUUGUGUAUCUGAAAUACAUUCUCCUUUUCCCUUGCUGACUCUGAAGUGGUUCUUAACUAAAGAAGCGGGAGGAAGGUAAAACGAUAUGAAGUUCUAAGCUUUCUGGGUCAGCACUCCCCAGAACACUAGUCCCUGGAAAGGUGUUUUCGAAUGUGCUUUCUGUGUCAAAUGUGUUGGAAAAUGCUGCUGUCCUUGAGAAUCACACUGCACUCUAGGGUGUUAGAACUCUGAAAAUUCAGACAAUAAAGAAACGUGUUCAACUUUAACUCAGCACUUCUCAAACUUAUCUGAUCAAGAACAUCUCUUUUUAUAUGAUAUCUUUAGCAGCCGUUAACAGAUGGAGGAGUAAGUGUUACAUGGGAAACAUUUUGAGAAAUGUUCUUCUCAGCCAGAAGACAGAGUUCACUGUCUUUUAUUUAGCACCUGGGGAUAUAUAUAUAUAUGCUAUAUAUAUAUAUAAAUACUAUGUAUAUAUAUAUAUACUAUGUACAUAUAUGUACAUAUACAUACAUAUACUGUGUCUAUUUUUGUUUGCCCCAUAUCUUCAACAAUGAACAUGAAUUAUUUCUAUAUUUCAGCUGAAAAACAAAAUAAACUUUAUUUUUAAAAAAGAAUCAACAUUAAGUUUCUAUACUUUUCAUUCGUGCUUAAGUGGACACAUCCACCUGCCUGCGGAGAAGCCGUCGGUUGUUCCUCCCACUUCUAGUCAGUUAUCUUGGUUUGCUUGGGGUUCCAUAGCGCUUGUCUUCUAAGGUCCUCUGUGUCUGUCCUUGGAGUGCGGACAGCUCCUUCAGACUGAGGGUAAAGCAAUUCACACAUGGCGGAAUGGUCCACCUGGGACAAGGAAAUGGCCCAAUCAAGCCCUCCAUACUAACUUGUUACUGGAUCAUGUGUCCAUGGGAGGACGUUGGCAGACCAGUCGGAAUUCUUGGUUGCUACCAAGCAAAAUCUCUCCUAGUUGACUUGAGCGGAAAGUGAACUUAUUGGAAGAGUGUUGUGCAGCUCACAGAAUCAGUGGGAAGGCUAGAGAACCAGGUGAUGAAAAUGAAUAAAAAUUGAGGGAGGCAGGACACAGCCAAGAUCUUGCCAGAGGGAUAGUCCACUUAGGGUGCGCCGCUGCUGCUGUCACUGCUGGACACGUGUCAUAAUGCUGCUGGGCUCUGAUCAGGCAUUGGUUGCUAUGCUUGCGGGCACUCAAAUCCACCACAGCCACUGCAAAUGACUUCUGCCUCCCCACAGGCUUCAGGUCCUAGAUGACAUGAUGGGGUCUCUGAUGGGCUGAGCCCAAGUGAUGUGCUGGUUUCCUAGUUUCUGGGGCACAGAUAGAAACUCUCUGCCCUCUUUGGCUUCUAAAAUGUUGGGGUUGAGUCCAGAAACCAAAAGAUGAGGUCCAAGGAGAGAGAUGGUACUGCUGUGGCUGCUGACAAAUCCUUAGAUGCCAGACCCAGACCCAAAACUGGACUGUGUAGGAGAAAACUGGUGGGGGUGACCACUUCAGAGCCUGGAGUCUUAGGAGUGGAACUAGAAAUCAGUGAUUAAAAAAUGAGAAAAAUUCCUUGUUUUGGAACUAACUUGGCUAUGCUCACCUCAGAAUUGUCCAGCCACUUGAACAGCUUCCAUUGUUCACUGGGACCUUUUGAGGAUUGUCAAUCUAUUCACAGGGAAGCGGGUUCCAAGAUCAGGAGUGCUUCCCUGGGAUUUCUUGAUUUGGAGCCUGAGGAAGAACAGCCUUGCCGCUGAGGCCAGGUGCUAAAGGGCUAUGAAGGUGAGAGCAAGAGCACAAACGAAUGCUACAUCUGGUUCUUCCAAAUAACAGAGAGACACAGGAAAACUGAAUGUGUUCUUGCCUCAGGUUCAGACUUGUUCAGUACAGCAAGCACUACAUAUAAGCGCCUGUCCGCUGUUCCCCUCUCUCUCUGCCUGCUCGUCUUGCUUUGGUGCUUGCCUGCGUGGCCCUGCAUGGCGUGAUGUGACAUGGCAGGCCUCCUAUUUCUAGUGGAUUGUGAGUAUAAUAAAAAAACUUCUUCCUUCAUGG
Molecule: long non-coding RNA, 11544 nt
Filed under: Equus caballus (horse)
Lineage: Eukaryota; Metazoa; Chordata; Mammalia; Perissodactyla; Equidae
Description: lncRNA (ENSECAG00000051557.1)
Source: RNAcentral